This 73-nucleotide transfer RNA is filed under the name Candidatus Magasanikiibacteriota bacterium. Its description in RNAcentral is "Candidatus Magasanikbacteria bacterium tRNA-Thr". It matches the Rfam family "tRNA". From Rfam's summary of the family: Transfer RNA (tRNA) molecules are approximately 80 nucleotides in length. Their secondary structure includes four short double-helical elements and three loops (D, anti-codon, and T loops). Further hydrogen bonds mediate the characteristic L-shaped molecular structure. tRNAs have two regions of fundamental functional importance: the anti-codon, which is responsible for specific mRNA codon recognition, and the 3' end, to which the tRNAs corresponding amino acid is attached (by aminoacyl-tRNA synthetases). tRNAs cope with the degeneracy of the genetic code in two manners: having more than one tRNA (with a specific anti-codon) for a particular amino acid; and 'wobble' base-pairing, i.e. permitting non-standard base-pairing at the 3rd anti-codon position. The record is from RNAcentral. Lineage: Bacteria; Candidatus Magasanikiibacteriota.
UAUGUGGUAGCUCAGUUGGUAGAGCAAGGGAUUCGUAAUCCCAAUGUCGCUGGUUCGAACCCAGUCCACAUAG